UACGACGUCGUUUUAGCUUCGAUAAACUCCAAGCACUCCGCUUUGCUCCCUCUAUCGCUUCCUUGCCAGUUGCCAUCGCUCUCCUUCGCCUCGUCCAGAACUGAUUCAUCGCUAACAGGCUCUUCCGGUUCACGCCUCGUUUUUUCCGUCCUCCGAUUAUUCAUAUCCCCUUCGAUUCGACUUUUCGCGUCCAAAUUCUAUCCGCCGGUUAUGUCUUCCGGCGGCUGUUCCAUCUGCACGCCGUCUCCUCUCUAAAUCCUCUUACAUUAUCCCCGGGAUCGACCUCGUCUCCUCCGCUUUCCUCUACUUGUGACUCAGCGACCAUAUCAUAGCACUUAGCUGCUGCUAGCGUGAGCCGUUAUCCGGCAAGGACUCCAGUCUGCGACGCCGUGGCCAUGAAGUUGUAGAACCAGAGCUCCAGAAGCCUUUCCACUCCGCGGAGCUGUGUCGCUACUACGACGAUUUCAAGCGACGGUUCAAUGCAUCGUCCGAGGCUAUGGCGGAAGAGCUGACGAUCCUACGUUCGCGAUCCGCAUAAGAGCGGCAUAAGAAAGGAGGAUGCGAGGCCGAUGCGAAGGAGGGCGUAGAAUGAGAAAAGGAAGGAGACGACAGCUCCUCCACCAUCGCCGCCGACGAUGCGUUGAAACCGUCGCUUAAGAUCGUCGUAGUGGCUGCGACAGCUCCGUGGAGUGAGGGGGGCGUUGGAGCCUGGCCUCUACACUUCCAUGGUGAAGAUGUCCAACCGCUGGAGUCCGCGCUGGAGAAUGGCGCACGAUAGCUGCAGUUUCUUGUUCAGUCGAUAAAUCGCUGCCUGUGGAGACUGCAGGAGACGAGGCAGAUCCGAGAAAGAAUAUAGAAGGAGAGGACAAGCAGAUGAAAUGGCCCCCGGAUGACGUCGCAGGCAAGGAUAAUUCCGGAGGCUUCCCACCUUUCCUCUGGCAGUUCUCUACAUAAAUUUUCUUUAUCAGAAUUGCAUCUGGAAGGACAAAAUCUCUGUAUUUUUCGAGUUCCAUGUCGUUACUAUUAGCUGCAUACAGAUCAUAACCAAGAGCAUAGUCCCCGGGAUUCAAAUAAUGGCCUAGAUGUGUUGGUAUGUUGAAAAUUGUAUCAUUCUUCCCAAAAUCUGAUACACGAGCCACUUGGGCAUCGGCUAAGAUGUGUUGGUAUGUUGAAAAUUGUAUCAUUCUUCCCAAAAUCUGAUACCCGAGCCACUUGGGCAUCGGCUAAUGCUUACUUUGAGCCCCCAGCAUUCACUUCAGAGUAAACAGUCCCCACAUCCAAUACCAUGUAUUCCACAAGCUGCCUACUAGAAAGUAAAGCCCUAAAGGGUGCCCUCCAAUACUGUUUGGCAUCCAAGAAACAGCGCUUCAGAGUGCUUACGCGUGUGCAAAUCACAAGAGGAUGGAGACUUCCCAAACUAGUCGCAACUUCUCUAGGGAGAAAUAUCAGAUCCUCAAGGCAUAUUGGGCAGAUUUCAACUAAGAAAGUGUACUUAUAAUAGUAGUUGUUGCUCUUGGGAUCAUGGGAGACAAGCUGCUGGCUGGGACCAAGACUCCUGCUUGGAACCAUUUUGCGAAUAAACUCCACAAAAUUCUUCCCAUGACUCAAAUCAACAAAGAAGAAAUCAAUACCAUGAUCCACUGUUUAACUUUAAUGGCACGGCCUGCAGCAUCAUGCCUGAGGAUGAGCUGCUCCAAAUGAAACAAAGUCCGCCUAUGGGGAACGUGUUUCUGGACUUGCACAGAAGCCAUCCACUGGUCAGGAUUGCCCUGGGCUCUGCAACAAGACUCACACAUGUGUUCUUUCUGAACGUAUUCAACACUGUAAACCUGCUCAAGGAUUGCUCCAUUCAGGACUUCUUUCUGAACCCUCAGCUUGACCUUGAUCCUCUUAAGAGUGAGGUUCAGUCCAAACAAAUUCAGCAUGAAUCAAUCUUAAUUCAAGUUCUUCAGCAUCAUCAAGCAUAAGGUCAAAAGCUGUAUCAAAACCAAUCGGGGUUGGAUCCAAGCUUUGGUGGCUGCAGGUACCGAUCGCAUUCAGGGCAGUGCAGGAGGGUGGCAUGCCUAUGCAAACCUUCUGUAAUAUGGCCUUCUGAGCUCAAGCACUUGACGCACAUACUGGCAGCAUUAGGUACAAUUGGAAUACCGCAUUUGCAACACAGAACUCUUCCAACGGUUGGAUGUCCUCUAAACAUGCUUGAUUCUUGAGCCAUUGCUGAUCAGGGCAAAGCAAGAAUAAGAGGAAGAUACGAUAAUUUUAAGAUCAUAUUUAGAUGUCAGGAAAGGACACA
Molecule: long non-coding RNA, 2290 nt
Organism: Vitis riparia (riverbank grape)
Lineage: Eukaryota; Viridiplantae; Streptophyta; Magnoliopsida; Vitales; Vitaceae
Exons: 2
Source: RefSeq, a predicted model, not a curated record